RNAcentral lists this ribosomal RNA (1448 nucleotides) under uncultured organism. RNAcentral describes it as "SSU rRNA". It matches the Rfam family "Bacterial small subunit ribosomal RNA". The record is from RNAcentral.
CGCUAUCUACAGGCUUAACACAUGCAAGUCGAGGGGCAUCAGGAAGAAAGCUUGCUUUCUUUGCUGGCGACCGGCGCACGGGUGAGUAACACGUAUCCAACCUGCCCUUUACUCGGGGAUAGCCUUUCGAAAGAAGGAUUAAUACCCGAUAGCAUAAUGAUUCCGCAUGGUUUCAUUAUUAAAGGAUUCCGGUAAAGGAUGGGGAUGCGUUCCAUUAGGUUGUUGGUGAGGUAACGGCCCACCAAGCCUUCGAUGGAUAGGGGUUCUGAGAGGAAGGUCCCCCACAUUGGAACUGAGACACGGUCCAAACUCCUACGGGAGGCAGCAGUGAGGAAUAUUGGUCAAUGGGCGCUAGCCUGAACCAGCCAAGUAGCGUGAAGGAUGAAGGCUCUAUGGGUCGUAAACUUCUUUUAUAUAAGAAUAAAGUGCAGUAUGUAUACUGUUUUGUAUGUAUUAUAUGAAUAAGGAUCGGCUAACUCCGUGCCAGCAGCCGCGGUAAUACGGAGGAUCCGAGCGUUAUCCGGAUUUAUUGGGUUUAAAGGGAGCGUAGGUGGACUGGUAAGUCAGUUGUGAAAGUUUGCGGCUCAACCGUAAAAUUGCAGUUGAUACUGUCAGUCUUGAGUACAGUAGAGGUGGGCGGAAUUCGUGGUGUAGCGGUGAAAUGCUUAGAUAUCACGAAGAACUCCGAUUGCGAAGGCAGCUCACUGGACUGCAACUGACACUGAUGCUCGAAAGUGUGGGUAUCAAACAGGAUUAGAUACCCUGGUAGUCCACGCAGUAAACGAUGAAUACUCGCUGUUUGCGAUAUACAGUAAGCGGCCAAGCGAAAGCAUUAAGUAUUCCACCUGGGGAGUACGCCGGCAACGGUGAAACUCAAAGGAAUUGACGGGGGCCCGCACAAGCGGAGGAACAUGUGGUUUAAUUCGAUGAUACGCGAGGAACCUUACCCGGGCUUAAAUUGCAGUGGAAUGAUGUGGAAACAUGUCAGUGAGCAAUCACCGCUGUGAAGGUGCUGCAUGGUUGUCGUCAGCUCGUGCCGUGAGGUGUCGGCUUAAGUGCCAUAACGAGCGCAACCCUUAUCUUUAGUUACUAACAGGUUAUGCUGAGGACUCUAGAGAGACUGCCGUCGUAAGAUGUGAGGAAGGUGGGGAUGACGUCAAAUCAGCACGGCCCUUACGUCCGGGGCUACACACGUGUUACAAUGGGGGGUACAGAAGGCAGCUAGCGGGUGACCGUAUGCUAAUCCCAAAAUCCUCUCUCAGUUCGGAUCGAAGUCUGCAACCCGACUUCGUGAAGCUGGAUUCGCUAGUAAUCGCGCAUCAGCCACGGCGCGGUGAAUACGUUCCCGGGCCUUGUACACACCGCCCGUCAAGCCAUGGGAGCCGGGGGUACCUGAAGUACGUAACCGCAAGGAUCGUCCUAGGGUAAAACUGGUGACUGGGGCUAAG